AUGUUGAUGAGCUAUGGGGUUUCAGAGCAGACAAAGUGGAUGAUGCCACAAUCCUACCUGACAGGAAUCAAGGUGAUUGGAUGUUCAUCUUAUUCUUUCUAUGUUAAUUUUGAUCACAUUUCUAUUAACUUUUGUUCUGUAGCUAAUCCACCUUCCGCGCUGCCUACUGUUGCCACCUGCAUGGAUGAUCUUGACAACCAUGCUUCAGUUCAUGGUGGAUCAUCUGGUGACGCCAAUGUUAGUAAGGAGGUACCUGCAAAUCUCAAGCAUUUACCUCCGUCGGGACAAUUCUGCCAGACUGUUGAGACAUUGGAGACAGGAGGUACUACUAUUUACCCAGUGUUAUCUGAAAGUGUUGAAUUUGAUGUCCAGUUAGUUGCAACGAGAUCUGUAUAG
This 396-nucleotide ribosomal RNA is filed under the name Triticum aestivum (bread wheat). RNAcentral describes it as "partial small subunit ribosomal RNA". Lineage: Eukaryota; Viridiplantae; Streptophyta; Magnoliopsida; Poales; Poaceae. The record is from RNAcentral.